Suricata suricatta (meerkat) is the source of this 962-nucleotide long non-coding RNA. RefSeq lists it as uncharacterized. The record is from RefSeq and is a predicted model, not a curated record. Lineage: Eukaryota; Metazoa; Chordata; Mammalia; Carnivora; Herpestidae. The transcript is spliced from 5 exons.
ACUCAGUAACGGCCAAGUUACAAGAAGAAAGGUACCAGAAAUGAUUUUUUAAAAAUGGGAAUUCAGAAUUCUACUUAAUAAUACUCCGAAUGCUCCCCAGUGAGCCAUGUGGACCUUUCUGUACACGAAGCACCUUGGAGGGAGGACAUAUGCCCAGCACAUGAGCCGCUGUGAGGACAUCCCAUUUGGAGACAGAUAGUGACCCUGUUUCUCAAGCAAGGCUUGUGCAGACUGAGUGGCCAUGAGGACUGCUUGGUGCUGAGAGACGAUCUUCUCGUGGUGGGCCUGCGUGAAAACACAUCAGCCGUGAGUAAGAAGACUCGGGCCGAAGGAAGAAAUGCCAUGGCUGAGGAUAUGUGGCACAACUAGAAAGAGCCAGAAACAGGCCCUGCGGCUAUCUCUCCACUCUGCCAGGACUUCAGGAAUUCCUACAGCCCUUUCAGAGUUCCAUAUCCUGAGAAGCAAAAGGAUCAGAAGGCAACCCUCAUGCAGCGAGGCAUCUUUAUGUCUCGAUCCACCCACCGGUAUUCUUCACCCCUUGCGUCAAGUUACUAACCUUUCCUGACUUCUAUGUAACAGACUCAGAAGGCGUUCCUAAAGGAAUUCAUUAAAUUUUUCAUUUUAAGAAAUAAUUAUAACAAGGUUCUAUGAUAGACCCUGGAAACCAUAAAAACACCUCAAUUCCAGUGCCAACACCAGCAGCAUCAACACUGGACUUUAGCUAUCGAAGCCCUGAGAGCCUCAAGUGGCACCAUCCAAUGGACAUCACAGAGCACUACCGUCUCAUGAGCUGCAGUUCUCCAACUAAUGCCUAGCAGCUGGGGAACAGAACACAGCCCACAUCCUCAGAUUCUUUUAGGUACAAGAAAGAAUCUAGAAUUUCUGGUGAUUGACUAGAGAACACUCCUUUGUAAAAUACAAAGCACAACUAAAUUAAAUCCUCAAAAAUGUUGCUACCUUAA